Molecule: ribosomal RNA, 403 nt
Filed under: uncultured bacterium
Lineage: Bacteria
Description: partial 16S ribosomal RNA
Rfam family: Bacterial small subunit ribosomal RNA
Source: RNAcentral
AUUGAACGCUGGCGGCAGGCCUAACACAUGCAAGUCGAGCGAGCGGCUGACGGGUGAGUAAUGUAUGGGGACUGCCCGAUAGAGGGGGAUAACUACUGGUAACGGUGGCUAAUACCGCAUACUAUCGGCUAGACCCUAUGGGAUUAGCUAGUAGGUGGGGUAAAGGCUCACCUAGGUGACGAUCUCUAGCUGGUCUGAGAGGAUGAUCAGCCAAACUGGGACUGAGACACGGCCCAGACUCCUACGGAGGCAGCAGUGGGGAAUAUUGCACAAGGGGCGCAAGCAUGAUGCAGCCAUGCCGCGUGUAUGAAGAAGGCCUUAGGGUUGUAAAGUACUUUCAGCGGGGAGGCGUUACCCGCAGAAGAAGCACCGGCUAACUCCGUGCCAGCAGCCGCGGUAAUUC